Molecule: long non-coding RNA, 1583 nt
Organism: Carassius gibelio (silver crucian carp)
Lineage: Eukaryota; Metazoa; Chordata; Actinopteri; Cypriniformes; Cyprinidae
Exons: 3
Source: RefSeq, a predicted model, not a curated record
UAGCGUCACUUUUAUGACGCCAAAUGUGCCUCUCGGCGUCGACUAUCGAAGUACUACGACCUUCAUUGCUUUCAGUGGGAAACUUUUGGCGUCAGAAUUCGACACGAGGACAGGAGAUGUUUAUCGCUAUGAAAUCACGUUCAAGAAGUCUCAUUCAGCACACAUCGCGCGAUACUUGCUAUCAGUUCCACAGUUUGGCUGAAAAGACGUAAAGGCAGUCAGCCCAGUGGUGUUUCUGGAGAGGGAUUCCUUCAGAAAUGGAGAAGACAGAAAGCUGCGGAGGCAGAUAUUUGCAGCAGUAAGUCUGUGAUAGUUUGUCUCUUUUAUCAAAAAUUCCUGCUGUUAUAAUUUGUACAGCAUUUGUUGUUUCUUAAACUGUUGCACUGUCCAAAUACCCACACUUGCCAUCUUUUCACUUGACCACUUGAUUACUUAUUUGACGUCUUUCCUGUAUUUGGCCUAGUGUUCGAGUGAGCAUGAUGACCACAAGUGUGUGUCAAACUUUUCAUGACCUGAUGACUGUGUUUCCCAAUCCUGAACCUGGAGAACCCCAGCACUGCACGGUUUUGGCGUCUCUCUUAUCUGCCUUGGAGUCUUCACUGAUGAGCUGAUGAGUUGAAUCAGGAUUGUUUGAGGAUAACACUGCAGUUCUCCAUCACGCACAAGGACUCACCUCGUUAACUCUUUAUACCCCGCACACACAGAAAUGGUCCCUGGAUCAGUGAUUAGACUUUGCAGUGGUUAGAUUUUUGCAGAAGAUGUAACUUUGUUUUAUUUAUAAGCUCAUAAUGAAUACAUUACAGAACCAGUGAUGAAAACAAUAGUUAAAAAUAGUAUUUUUCGUAUUGAUAAAGCAUUUUGUUCUCUUUUUCAAGCUUCAUACAGUGAACUUUUUAGACUUUAAUUAAGAGUUUUAGUAAAGGAGAUAUUCAUACACAGUCAUCCCCUAGCUCCAGUCAUGAAGUGAAUUCAUGAUGUUAUUGUCAAAGCUAGCAUGUGUUUGUUUUCCUGAACACUUUCUCUGUCUUCCAUUGUUCAGACAAUCAGUGUUUAUUUGAUGCUGUGCUGAUUGAGUUUUAUAGAUGAUAUUGCACACUUGACAUGCAUGUCUUCAUGGUGUUUUUUUGUGAGUUUGAAACAUUUACAUUGUGUUGUAUAACAUUUUGGUCAAUUUAAUUUUUUUAAUAAAAUUGAUCUUUUUCCAGUGUUCUCUGAAAGACAUACUGUAUUUACUGUUUUGUUUUUUAAUAAAAGCAUUUUCAUUUGCAUACUGAAAAUAGUUAAUGUUUACAACAUAACUGCCUUUUUAUUCUUUAUGGUGGCAAAAACGAGCUUGGUGACAGAGGAUGCAGUGUAGUAAUUUGGGCAUGUUGUCUUUAAAUGAGUUUGACAUAUCAAUAAAUAAUGGAAGAUCCUUACAAAAAUAUGCAUGUUUAUUAUGCUUUAUGUAUUUAUUUGUUCAUUCAUUCAUUCAUUAAUUUAUAAUUUCUGUUUUUAUUCCUAGGGUUCAAAUGGUAGAGAAUGGUAAAUCACAGAAACACAAAUGUGAACAAUUUUAACUUUAAAACACAAUGUAAUAUACA